CCUACGGGAGGCAGCAGUGGGGAAUAUUGCACAAUGGGGGAAACCCUGAUGCAGCGACGCCGCGUGAGUGAAGAAGUAUUUCGGUAUGUAAAGCUCUAUCAGCAGGGAAGAAAAUGACGGUACCUGAUUAAGAAGCCCCGGCUAACGACGUGCAAGCAGCCGCGGUAAUACGUAGGGGGCAAGCGUUAUCCGGAUUUCCUGGGUGUAAAGGGAGCGUAGACGGCAGCACAAGUCUGGAGUGAAAUGCCAGGGGUUAACCCCGGAACUGCUUUGGAAACUGUACAGCUAGAGUGCGGGAGAGGUAAGUGGAAUUACUAGUGUAGCGGUAAAAUGCGUAGAUAUUAGGAGGAACACCAGUGGCGAAGGCGGCUUACUGGACUGUAACUGACGUUGAGGCUCGAAAGCGUGGGGAGCAAACAGGAUUAGAUACCCCAGUAGUC
This 440-nucleotide ribosomal RNA is filed under the name uncultured bacterium. RNAcentral's name for it is "partial 16S ribosomal RNA". It matches the Rfam family "Bacterial small subunit ribosomal RNA", at positions 338 to 795 of the family's 1533-position model. The record is from RNAcentral.